Molecule: transfer RNA, 75 nt
Filed under: Pseudomonas fluorescens
Lineage: Bacteria; Pseudomonadati; Pseudomonadota; Gammaproteobacteria; Pseudomonadales; Pseudomonadaceae
Description: tRNA-Trp
Rfam family: tRNA
About the family: Transfer RNA (tRNA) molecules are approximately 80 nucleotides in length. Their secondary structure includes four short double-helical elements and three loops (D, anti-codon, and T loops).
Source: RNAcentral
AGGGGAGUGGCUCAACGGUAGAGUAGUGGUCUCCAAAACCAUUGGUUGCAGGUUCAAAUCCUGUCUCCCCUGCCA